RNAcentral lists this long non-coding RNA (491 nucleotides) under Homo sapiens (human). Its description in RNAcentral is "HSALNT0386420". The record is from RNAcentral. Lineage: Eukaryota; Metazoa; Chordata; Mammalia; Primates; Hominidae.
GGUAACAUGUUUCGGCGUCCUUCCACACUGUCGCGGCUUAUGUUGUUUUGCUGUUUGGGUUUGCACUGUCUUUUUGAGCUGUAACACAGCAAAGGUUUGCAGUUUCGCUCCUGAAAUCAUCGAGACCACAAACCCACCGGGAAGAACGAACAACUCCAGACGCACCGCUUUAAGAGCUGUAAUACUCGUUAGGAAGGUGUGCAGCUUGACUCCUGAGUCAGCGAGACCAUGAACCCAUCAGAAGGAAAAAACUCCGAACAUCAGAAGGAACAAGUUUCAGACACGCCACCUUUAAGAACUGUGAUACUCACCGCGAGGGCCCGCGGCUUCAUUCUUGAAGUCCGUGAGACCAAGAACCUACCAAUUCCGAAUACGUUGGGUUCAAGUGGUUCUCCUGCCUCAGACUCCCGAAUACCUGGGACUACAGGCACCCACCACGCCCGGGAAAUUGGCAACUGAUGAAGGGAAGUGUAUCAGUCCGUUUUCAUGCU